AUGGAGUUGGGCGAACUGCUGUACAACAAGUCGGAGUACAUCGAGACGGCAUCUGGGAACAAAAAGUUAGUCGCUAGUCUGUUUUGUGGGAAGGCAGAACAUCUUUCUCAAUGGCAAGACCAUUAUAAUGAACGACUGUAUCAUCCGAGGAGAACUCGCAAGUGUAAGAGUUGGAUGUCACUGUGUUGUGAAAAGCCGUAGUGUCAUAAGGCCACCAUUCAAAAAAAUUCAGCAAAGGUGUUACCUUCUUUCCUCUGCAUAUUGGGGAUCAUGUCUUUAUUGAGGAAGACUGUGUGGUCAACGCUGCCCAGAUUGGUUCUUAUGUUCACGUUGGGAGGAACUGUGUGACUGGGUGCCGUUGUGUCUUGAAAGACUGCUGCAAAAUUCUUGACAAUACAGUAUUACCUCCAGAAACUGUGUUCCCCCCAUUCACUGCCUUCUCCGGCUGCCCAGGACUCUCUCCGGGGAGCUCCCAGAGCGCACACAGGAGCUGAGGAGUGAUCUCACCAAAAGCUACAGCCAGAAGCUUCUACCCCUAGC
This 540-nucleotide long non-coding RNA is filed under the name Mus musculus (house mouse). Its description in RNAcentral is "long non-coding RNA chr6:53045883-53046423". The record is from RNAcentral. Lineage: Eukaryota; Metazoa; Chordata; Mammalia; Rodentia; Muridae.